CCGCCGGCACCGGCGCACGGGUGAGUAACACGUAUGCAACCUGGCCGUGACAGAUGGAUAACCGGGAGAAAUCCCGCCUAAUACAACAUAAUGCCGGGAGGGGACAUCCCCUGCCGGCCAAAGGGGGCGACCCCGGUCAUGGAUGGGCAUGCGGCGCAUUAGGUAGUUGGUGGGGCAACGGCCCACCAAGCCGACGAUGCGUAGGGGUUCUGAGAGGAAGGUCCCCCACAUUGGAACUGAGACACGGUCCAAACUCCUACGGGAGGCAGCAG
RNAcentral lists this ribosomal RNA (272 nucleotides) under uncultured bacterium. Its description in RNAcentral is "partial 16S ribosomal RNA". It matches the Rfam family "Bacterial small subunit ribosomal RNA", at positions 86 to 354 of the family's 1533-position model. The record is from RNAcentral.